RNAcentral lists this ribosomal RNA (1946 nucleotides) under Philharmostes sp. TJH-2004. RNAcentral's name for it is "SSU rRNA". It matches the Rfam family "Eukaryotic small subunit ribosomal RNA". The record is from RNAcentral. Lineage: Eukaryota; Metazoa; Arthropoda; Insecta; Coleoptera; Hybosoridae.
UUGUCUCAAAGAUUAAGCCAUGCAUGUCUCAGUACAAGCCAAAUUAAGGUGAAACCGCGAAAGGCUCAUUAAAUCAGUUAUGGUUCCUUAGAUCGUACCCACAUUUACUUGGAUAACUGUGGUAAUUCUAGAGCUAAUACAUGCAAACAGAGCUCCGACCGGAGACGGAAGGAGCGCUUUUAUUAGAUCAAAACCAAUCGGUGGCGGACGGUAAAACGUUCGUUAUCGUAUACUUUGGUGAUACUGAAUAACUUCUUGCUGAUCGCACGGUCUAGCACCGGCGACGCAUCUUUCAAAUGUCUGCCUUAUCAACUGUCGAUGGUAGGUUCUGCGCCUACCAUGGUUGUAACGGGUAACGGGGAAUCAGGGUUCGAUUCCGGAGAGGGAGCCUGAGAAACGGCUACCACAUCCAAGGAAGGCAGCAGGCGCGCAAAUUACCCACUCCCGGCACGGGGAGGUAGUGACGAAAAAUAACGAUACGGGACUCAUCCGAGGCCCCGUAAUCGGAAUGAGUACACUUUAAAGCCUUUAACGAGGAUCAAUUGGAGGGCCAGUCUGGUGCCAGCAGCCGCGGUAACUCCAGCUCCAAUAGCGUAUAUUAAAGUUGUUGCGGUUAAAAAGCUCGUAGUCGAAUUUGUGUCCCGCGCCGCCGGUUCAUCGCUCGCGGUGUUUAACUGGCGUGCUCGCGGGACGUCCUGCCGGUGGGCUUAGCUGCUCUUCGCGAGCGCGCACGAUCGUACGAUCGCGUGUGUAUCGUACGACUUUGUCGUACGGUCGCCCGGUCAACGUCGUUGUCGCUGUUUCGCGUUGUAGUUGGCGGCCCAACUUGAAAUCCCACCGCGGUGCUCUUCAUUGAGUGUCGAGGUGGGCCGGCACGUUUACUUUGAACAAAUUAGAGUGCUUAAAGCAGGCUAAAAUUUCGCCUGAAUAUUGUGUGCAUGGAAUAAUGGAAUAGGACCUCGGUUCUAUUUUGUUGGUUUUCGGAACCCCGAGGUAAUGAUUAAUAGGAACGGAUGGGGGCAUUCGUAUUGCGACGUUAGAGGUGAAAUUCUUGGACGUCGCAAGACGGACAGAAGCGAAAGCAUUUGCCAAAAACGUUUUCAUUGAUCAAGAACGAAAGUUAGAGGUUCGAAGGCGAUCAGAUACCGCCCUAGUUCUAACCAUAAACGAUGCCAGCUAGCGAUCCGCCGACGUUCCUCCGAUGACUCGGCGGGCAGCUUCCGGGAAACCAAAGCUUUUGGGUUCCGGGGGAAGUAUGGUUGCAAAGCUGAAACUUAAAGGAAUUGACGGAAGGGCACCACCAGGAGUGGAGCCUGCGGCUUAAUUUGACUCAACACGGGAAACCUCACCAGGCCCGGACACCGGGAGGAUUGACAGAUUGAGAGCUCUUUCUUGAUUCGGUGGGUGGUGGUGCAUGGCCGUUCUUAGUUGGUGGAGCGAUUUGUCUGGUUAAUUCCGAUAACGAACGAGACUCUAGCCUGUUAACUAGGCGUAAUAUCGACAUCUCAAAGGCCCGCCGGUUCGACGCGUUCGCGCGUCGUGAUCGUGCGCGGUUUUUACUGUCGGCGUAUAAAUAAUUCUUCUUAGAGGGACAGGCGGCUUCUAGCCGCACGAGAUUGAGCAAUAACAGGUCUGUGAUGCCCUUAGAUGUUCUGGGCCGCACGCGCGCUACAAUGAAGGAAUCAGCGUGUCUUCCCUGGCCGAGCGGUCCGGGUAACCCGCUGAACCUCCUUCGUGCUAGGGAUUGGGGCUUGCAAUUGUUCCCCAUGAACGAGGAAUUCCCAGUAAGCGCGAGUCAUAAGCUCGCGUUGAUUACGUCCCUGCCCUUUGUACACACCGCCCGUCGCUACUACCGAUUGAAUGAUUUAGUGAGGUCUUCGGACCGGUACGCGGUGGCGUUUCGACGUUGCCGAUGUUGCUGGGAAGAUGACCAAACUUGAUCAUUU